AGGGUAGUAGCUCAGCCUGGUUAGAGCACCGGUCUCCAAAACCGGGUGUCGUGGGUUCGAAUCCCUCCUACCCUGCCA
Molecule: transfer RNA, 78 nt
Filed under: Verrucomicrobiota bacterium
Lineage: Bacteria; Pseudomonadati; Verrucomicrobiota
Also listed under: 3 other names
Description: tRNA-Trp
Rfam family: tRNA
About the family: Transfer RNA (tRNA) molecules are approximately 80 nucleotides in length. Their secondary structure includes four short double-helical elements and three loops (D, anti-codon, and T loops). Further hydrogen bonds mediate the characteristic L-shaped molecular structure. tRNAs have two regions of fundamental functional importance: the anti-codon, which is responsible for specific mRNA codon recognition, and the 3' end, to which the tRNAs corresponding amino acid is attached (by aminoacyl-tRNA synthetases). tRNAs cope with the degeneracy of the genetic code in two manners: having more than one tRNA (with a specific anti-codon) for a particular amino acid; and 'wobble' base-pairing, i.e. permitting non-standard base-pairing at the 3rd anti-codon position.
Source: RNAcentral